Long non-coding RNA from Cyanistes caeruleus (blue tit), 1769 nucleotides. NCBI's taxonomy places the organism in Eukaryota, Metazoa, Chordata, Aves, Passeriformes, Paridae. The record is from Ensembl.
GUCACCGGGCACGGUCACCGGGCACGGUCACGGUCACAGCCGCCGCCCGCUAUGACUUCAUUGGACCUGGGAGAAUUAGAAACUUCCCUGAGGAAACAAGUCACUGGCCACUCAUGGAGAUUUGCCAAGGAGAUUGUGCAGCAGAUAAAUUACUGACGUAUAAAAGGAAAAAGACUAAGAAAGAAAAAAAAUGCAGUAAGAACAAAAUAGAAAAUAUGGAUGAGUUAUACGUCCACUCCAAUAUGUCGCCUCCACUGUGGAGGGUGAAGAAAACAGGUCAUGUAGACAAUCACUGAAAUUGGCAUCUUUUCUCUCUCAAGUAGCCAGUGGCAACACCAAUGUGCUGUUCCAGCAAAUAUCCUCAAAAUAUAACCUAGGAAGCCAACUUCUGCAAAAAGCAAGGCAGUUGAAAGUGAACGUGGCUCCUUCUCUGCAGUUUGAAAGCUUUGGCUUUGGAGGUGCACUGGGUCUGGCUGGGACAGAGUUAAUUAUCUUCCUAGCAGUUCAGAGGGUGCUGUUUUGGAUCUGUGACUGGAGCAGUGCUGGUAAUACACCAGAGUCUGGCUGCUGCCCAACAGUCCUUGCAGAGGGGCAAGGUUUUCUCUUUCUUCUGCUCUGCUGCCUCAGUGAGUAGGUGAGGGUGUGCAAGAAAUUGAGAAGGGACACAACCAGGACAGCUGGCACAAAAGGAUCAGAGGGAUAUUCCAUGCCAGAUAAAAUCAUGCACGCCAGUGCUCCCAAACUACAGGAAGGAGGCUUUUGGGGAGGUGGCCAUUGCUCAGAGACCGCUGAGCAUCGGGGUACUUGAGGGAAAAGAUGGGGGAGGGCCUUUGCAAAGCUUGAUCUGGGUUUUUUCUUCUCCUUCCUUUCACUUAUUAAACUGACUUUAAUUUAUCUGUAUCUGUGAGAUUUCUCAAUUCUGUUCUCCCUAAUCUCUCCCCUGUCCUACUGCUGGGGCGAUGAGUGAGUGUCGUGUGGUGAAACUGCUGGAUAUGGUCAACCCACCACAAGAAAGAACUCAGAAGAAAUGGGGUAGAAAAGGAGUGCUCUCAUUAUUGAAACAUUUUAGGCUCUGUCUAGUGUGUGGAAAUACCCAUAUGUAUGGUCUAUUGUGACAAGACAUAAGAAACUCUUGCUUGACUUUUUUACUGUAUGAUUUACCUGAAGAACUUAAGAAAUCUUAUUGUGCAGGAAACUACCAGAUUUGUGUUUUGGGUAUCCUGUGAGAAGCAAUGACAUCUUAUAGUAAGAAAAGUACGUGAAGAUCAUAGUUGGAGACCAGGAAGAGGCUUGGAUAAAAAACAUACUAUAAAUAUAUAAAAUUCUGUGUUAAAUAAUUUAAAAAUUAGUGUAUUAGUGUAAUAAUUAUAAACAGAUUUGAUGAGUGCCUUGAAGUAUGACAUUUAGUAUUGAAAAGAGGUAAUGCUGAACAGAGAGUUAUAAUACUUGAGAAGGAAUAAUAGUGAAGAUGCUCAUUGAGGUAGUAACUGAUCAGGUAACUGAUUUUAUUUUGCAUUUUUGCUGAGAACUAUGGGAUAAAACAAUACUCCAAAGAUGGAGAUUUGAUUUCCCAAAGGGACCUGCAAAUAUAUGAGAAAGAGGUAAAUUACUUCACUUGUACAAUUGCAUUUCAAUUUAGUAAUAUAAAAUGCAAAGUCCUGAUUUAGGUAGAUAAACAGAAAAAAUGUUCACUGUCAACUGGAAGAUUUCCUGUUCAAAAUUCAUUAGUAGAGAAGACUCAAAUAAAACUGACCUGACUGUAUGAUGCA